UACCCUUGACAUGUCCGAGAGCUCGCUGAGAGGCGAGUGUGCCCGAAAGGGAAUCGGAACACAGGUGCUGCAUGGCUGUCGUCAGCUCGUGUCGUGAGAUGUUGGGUUAAGUCCCGCAACGAGCGCAACCCUUGUCAUUAGUUGCUACAUUCAGUUGGGCACUCUAAUGAGACUGCCGGUGACAAACCGGAGGAAGGUGGGGAUGACGUCAAGUCCUCAUGGCCCUUAUGGGUAGGGCUUCACACGUAAUACAAUGGCGCGUACAGAGGGCUGCUAAGCCGCGAGGUAGAGCCAAUCCCUUAAAGCGCGUCGUAGUCCGGAUUGCAGUCUGCAACUCGACUGCAUGAAGUCGGAAUCGCUAGUAAUCGCGGAUCAGCAUGUCGCGGUGAAUACGUUCCCGGGUC
RNAcentral lists this ribosomal RNA (404 nucleotides) under uncultured bacterium. RNAcentral describes it as "bacterial SSU rRNA". It matches the Rfam family "Bacterial small subunit ribosomal RNA", at positions 976 to 1380 of the family's 1533-position model. The record is from RNAcentral.